This 458-nucleotide ribosomal RNA is filed under the name uncultured bacterium. RNAcentral's name for it is "SSU rRNA". It matches the Rfam family "Bacterial small subunit ribosomal RNA", at positions 26 to 518 of the family's 1533-position model. The record is from RNAcentral.
AGAAUCAACGCUGGCGGCGUGCCUAACACAUGCAAGUCGAACGAGAAAGUGGAGCAAUCCAUGAGUACAGUGGCGCACGGGUGAGUAACACGUGACUAACCUACCCUUGAGUUCGGAAUAACUUCGGGAAACCGAGGCUAAUACCGGAUAAUAUCUACGGAUCAAAGGAGCAAUUCGCUUAAGGAGGGGGUCGCGGCAGAUUAGUUAGUUGGCGGGGUAAUGGCCCACAAGACGAUGAUCUGUAUCCGGCCUGAGAGGGCGCACGGACACACUGGAACUGAAACACGGUCCAGACUCCUACGGGAGGCAGCAGUGGGGAAUUUUGCGCAAUGGGGGAAACCCUGACGCAGCAACGCCGCGUGGAGGAUGAAAUCCCUUGGGAUGUAAACUCCUUUCGAUCGGGACGAUUAUGACGGUACCGGAAGAAGAAGCCCGGCUAACUUCGCGCCAGCAGCCGC